GACGAACGCUGGCGGCGCGCCUAACACAUGCAAGUCGAACGAGCGAGAGAGAGCUUGCUUUCUCGAGCGAGUGGCGAACGGGUGAGUAACGCGUGAGGAACCUGCCUCAAAGAGGGGGACAACAGUUGGAAACGACUGCUAAUACCGCAUAAGCCCACGGGUCGGCAUCGACCAGAGGGAAAAGGAGCAAUCCGCUUUGAGAUGGCCUCGCGUCCGAUUAGCUAGUUGGUGAGGUAAUGGCCCACCAAGGCAACGAUCGGUAGCCGGACUGAGAGGUUGAACGGCCACAUUGGGACUGAGACACGGCCCAGACUCCUACGGGAGGCAGCAGUGGGGAAUAUUGCACAAUGGGGGAAACCCUGAUGCAGCGACGCCGCGUGGAGGAAGAAGGUCUUCGGAUUGUAAACUCCUGUUGUUGGGGAAGAUAAUGACGGUACCCAACAAGGAAGUGACGGCUAACUACGUGCCAGCAGCCGCGGUAAAACGUAGGUCACAAGCGUUGUCCGGAAUUACUGGGUGUAAAGGGAGCGCAGGCGGGAAGACAAGUUGGAAGUGAAAUCUAUGGGCUCAACCCAUAAACUGCUUUCAAAACUGUUUUUCUUGAGUAGUGCAGAGGUAGGCGGAAUUCCCGGUGUAGCGGUGGAAUGCGUAGAUAUCGGGAGGAACACCAGUGGCGAAGGCGGCCUACUGGGCACCAACUGACGCUGAGGCUCGAAAGUGUGGGUAGCAAACAGGAUUAGAUACCCUGGUAGUCCACACCGUAAACGAUGAUUACUAGGUGUUGGAGGAUUGACCCCUUCAGUGCCGCAGUUAACACAAUAAGUAAUCCACCUGGGGAGUACGACCGCAAGGUUGAAACUCAAAGGAAUUGACGGGGGCCCGCACAAGCAGUGGAGUAUGUGGUUUAAUUCGACGCAACGCGAAGAACCUUACCAAGUCUUGACAUCCCUUGACAGACAUAGAAAUAUGUAAUCUCUUCGGAGCAAGGAGACAGGUGGUGCAUGGUUGUCGUCAGCUCGUGUCGUGAGAUGUUGGGUUAAGUCCCGCAACGAGCGCAACCCUUAUGGUCAGUUACUACGCAAGAGGACUCUGGCCAGACUGCCGUUGACAAAACGGAGGAAGGUGGGGAUGACGUCAAAUCAUCAUGCCCUUUAUGACUUGGGCUACACACGUACUACAAUGGCGUUAAACAAAGAGAAGCAAGACCGCGAGGUGGAGCAAAACUCAGAAACAACGUCCCAGUUCGGACUGCAGGCUGCAACUCGCCUGCACGAAGUCGGAAUUGCUAGUAAUCGUGGAUCAGCAUGCCACGGUGAAUACGUUCCCGGGCCU
RNAcentral lists this ribosomal RNA (1332 nucleotides) under uncultured bacterium. Its description in RNAcentral is "bacterial SSU rRNA". It matches the Rfam family "Bacterial small subunit ribosomal RNA", at positions 28 to 1381 of the family's 1533-position model. The record is from RNAcentral.